Molecule: RNA transcript, 572 nt
Organism: Mus pahari (shrew mouse)
Lineage: Eukaryota; Metazoa; Chordata; Mammalia; Rodentia; Muridae
Gene name: histone H3-like
Exons: 1
Source: RefSeq, a predicted model, not a curated record
AUGGCCCGUACUAAGCAGACCGCUCGCAAGUCCACCGGCGGCAAGGCUCCGCGCAAGCAGCUGGCCACCAAGGCCGCCCGCAAGAGCGCCCCGGCCACCGGCGGCGUGAAGAAGCCCCACCGCUACCGUCCCGGCACCGCCUGCUUGUGGACGUUGUACAUCGUGGUGCGGAGCCUAGUGCGCACCACGAUGUACAACGUCCACAAGCAGCGAGAUCCGGCGCUACCAGAAGUCGACCGAGCUGCUGAUCCGCAAGCUGCCGUUCCAGCGGCUAGUGCGCGAGAUCGCGCAGGACUUCAAGACCGACCUGCGCUUCCAGAGCUCGGCCGUCAUGGCUCUGCAGGAGGCGAGCGAGGCCUACCUUGUGGGUCUGUUUGAGGACACCAACCUGUGCGCCAUCCACGCCAAGCGUGUCACUAUCAUGCCCAAGGACAUCCAGCUGGCUCGCCGCAUUCGUGGGGAGAGGGCUUAAAUUGAUGAUAGUGAGUGAAGUUGCACCCCAAAGGCUCUUUUCAGAGCCAUCCACAUCUUCUAUAAAGGGCUGUGUAUAGAUAAGCUAUUACGAACCCCCA